GACGAACGUUGGCGGCGUGCUUAACACAUGCCAGUCGAACGGAAAGGCCCUGCUUGCAGGGUACUCGAGUGGCGAACGGGUGAGUAACACGUGGGUGAUCUGCCCUGCACUUCGGGAUAAGCCUGGGAAACUGGGUCUAAUACCGGCUAGGAGCCAUUUUUAGUGGGAUGGUUGGAAAGUUUUUUCGGUGUAUGAUGAGCUCGCGGCCUAUCAGCUUGUUGGUGCGGUAAUGGCCUACCAAGGCGGCUACGGGUAGCCGGCCUGAGAGGGUGGACGGCGACAUUGGGACUGAGAUACGGCCCAGACUCCGACGGGAGGCAGCAGUGGGGAAUAUUGCACAAUGGGCGCAAGCCUGAUGCAGCGACGCCGCGUGGGGGAUGACGGCCUUCGGGUUGUAAACUCCUUUCGCUAGGGACGAAGCUUUUUGUGACGGUACCUAGAUAAGAAGCACCGGCUAACUACGUG
RNAcentral lists this ribosomal RNA (465 nucleotides) under uncultured bacterium. RNAcentral's name for it is "partial 16S ribosomal RNA". It matches the Rfam family "Bacterial small subunit ribosomal RNA", at positions 28 to 507 of the family's 1533-position model. The record is from RNAcentral.